GAACAUUGAAGCAACAGUAACUUCCUACAGCCUCCAAAGUUUCUUUGUCAGAAAAUUUCUGGUUUUUUUUUCUCCCAGUGUUUGUCCCACUCUGACACAGCCACUGAGGAUGACAUACACUGCUGUUGGCAGCAGGGUGAAUUAGAGCUCCAGCGACAGCCACCCUGUGACUGAAAUGCCUUUGCAAGUUGGAAUGCUCGGGGAGUCACAAGCCUGGGGAAAGCACAGCCUGGAGAGGGGAAGCUGUGGUGAGGAGAGAGAGGCAAGGACAACUGGAAAACCUGACAAGAAACAUCAAAGGAGAAAUAUGAAGCUGAGAUUUGAAAAGCCUUGGGAUUUCCUCUUGCCAUGUUUGAAUACCGGAGUUUUGCAGCACCAGAAAUCUCUUCACUCUGAGAUACUUAUGCACAGUGAUCAGCUCACCUCUUAGUUAUGUUGUGUUAUAAUUUUGCCUUUAUUGUAGGCAGAUUUCUAAUCCUGAUUUAAAGAAAUGCAGAAUGAUAGAGAGGUCACUCCUUUCCUGAACAAGCAUUUCCAAACCUUAAUUACAAAAACCAAUCAACUAAACACACACACACACGCAAAAUGCCCCUGUAUGCCUGAUUUCCUGCCUCAUUUUAUCUCACUUUUUCUUUCAGCCUUGGGAUUUCCUCUUGCCAUGUUUGAAUACUGGAGUUUUGCAGCACCAGAAAUCUCUUCACUCUGACAUACUUAUGCACAUUAUAGACUGAACUGCUUGAAUUAUUCCAAAAGGCAUUAUUUCCAUCUCCCAGGUAAUAACUUUGUCAUUAGGAAGACCCAACAGAAGAGAGAAAUGUGUAGAUACUUUUGUAAGCACUAAAAAAGGUAAAUUCCAGAUCUAUCUUAUUUAACACC
This 876-nucleotide long non-coding RNA is filed under the name Ficedula albicollis (Collared flycatcher). RNAcentral describes it as "lncRNA (ENSFALG00000027635.1)". Lineage: Eukaryota; Metazoa; Chordata; Aves; Passeriformes; Muscicapidae. The record is from RNAcentral.